RNAcentral lists this unclassified non-coding RNA (25 nucleotides) under Mus musculus (house mouse). RNAcentral describes it as "oocyte_clustered_small_RNA2543". The record is from RNAcentral. Lineage: Eukaryota; Metazoa; Chordata; Mammalia; Rodentia; Muridae.
UCAGCGGUCUGCGCUGUCCUGCACA